RNAcentral lists this ribosomal RNA (388 nucleotides) under uncultured bacterium. RNAcentral describes it as "bacterial SSU rRNA". It matches the Rfam family "Bacterial small subunit ribosomal RNA", at positions 28 to 419 of the family's 1533-position model. The record is from RNAcentral.
GACGAACGCUGGCGGCGUGCUUAACACAUGCAAGUCGAGCGGUAAGGCCCUUUCGGGGUACACGAGCGGCGAACGGGUGAGUAACACGUGGGUGACCUGCCCUCAGCUCUGGGAUAAGCCUGGGAAACUGGGUCUAAUACUGGAUAUGACUCCACGGUGCAUGUCGUGGGGUGGAAAGCCUUGUGCGGCUGAGGAUGGGCCCGCGGCCUAUCAGCUUGUUGGUGGGGUGAGGCCUACCAAGGCGACGACGGGUAGCCGGCCUGAGAGGGCGACCGGCCACACUGGGACUGAGACACGGCCCAGACUCCUACGGGAGGCAGCAGUGGGGAAUCUUGCGCAAUGGGCGAAAGCCUGACGCAGCGACGCCGCGUGAGGGAUGACGGCCUGG